CGUUCCUCGCUGUUUAUUCCAGUAAUCUUUGUGUUUGAGUAGGGACCCUUAGAGUUUGAUCCUGGGUUCAGGAUGAACGCUAGCGGCAGGCCUAAUACAUGCAAGUCGGACGGGAUUGGAACCAGAGCUUGCUCUGAUUCCAUGAGAGUGGCGCACGGGUGCGUAACGCGUGAGCAACCUACCUCUAUCAGGGGGAUAGCCUCUCGAAAGAGAGAUUAACACCGCAUAAUAUAUAGAACUGGCAUCGGUUUUAUAUUAAAUAUUUAUAGGAUAGAGAUGGGCUCGCGUGACAUUAGCUAGUUGGUAGGGUAACGGCUUACCAAGGCGACGAUGUCUAGGGGCUCUGAGAGGAGAAUCCCCCACACUGGUACUGAGACACGGACCAGACUCCUACGGGAGGCAGCAGUAAGGAAUAUUGGUCAAUGGGCGGAAGCCUGAACCAGCCAUGCCGCGUGCAGGAUGACUGCCCUAUGGGUUGUAAACUGCUUUUGUCCAGGAAUAAACCUUUAUACGUGUAGGAAGCUGAAUGUACUGGAAGAAUAAGGAUCGGCUAACUCCGUGCCAGCAGCCGCGGUAAUACGGAGGAUCCGAGCGUUAUCCGGAUUUAUUGGGUUUAAAGGGUGCGUAGGCGGCCUAUUAAGUCAGGGGUGAAAUACGGUGGCUCAACCAUCGCAGUGCCUUUGAUACUGAUGGGCUUGAAUCCAUUUGAAGUGGGCGGAAUAAGACAAGUAGCGGUGAAAUGCAUAGAUAUGUCUUAGAACUCCGAUUGCGAAGGCAGCUCACUAAGCUGGUAUUGACGCUGAUGCACGAAAGCGUGGGGAUCGAACAGGAUUAGAUACCCUGGUAGUCCCACGCCCUAAACGAAUGAUAACCUCGAUGUUGGCCGAUAGACAUGCCCAGCGUCUCAGCGUAAAGCGUUAAAGCUAUCAAA
This 931-nucleotide ribosomal RNA is filed under the name Sphingobacterium siyangense subsp. cladoniae. RNAcentral's name for it is "bacterial SSU rRNA". It matches the Rfam family "Bacterial small subunit ribosomal RNA", at positions 1 to 871 of the family's 1533-position model. The record is from RNAcentral. Lineage: Bacteria; Pseudomonadati; Bacteroidota; Sphingobacteriia; Sphingobacteriales; Sphingobacteriaceae.